This 274-nucleotide ribosomal RNA is filed under the name unidentified marine bacterioplankton. RNAcentral describes it as "partial 16S ribosomal RNA". It matches the Rfam family "Bacterial small subunit ribosomal RNA", at positions 70 to 339 of the family's 1533-position model. The record is from RNAcentral.
UAAGGUCUCUUCGGAGAUACACGAGUGGCGAAACGGGUGCGUAACGCGUAUGCAACCUACCUUUUAACAGAGAGAUAGCCCCUGAGAAAUUUGGGGAUUAAUAUCACAUAAUAUUAUAAUGCAGCAUUGUAUAAUUGAUUAAAGCUCCGGACGGUUAAAGAUGGGCAUGCGUGACAUUAGUUAGUUGGUGAGGUAACGGCUCACCAAGACUUCGAUGUCUAGGGGUUCUGAGAGGAUUAUCCCCACACUGGUACUGAGACACGGACCAGACUCC